UGUUGAUAUUUAUGAAGAAAACGAUUCCUGGAAAUACGAAUGUCAAGCAACUUGAAAAUUUUGACCACUGACGCUGUCAGGAAUAACGUUUACAACGCGUGUCACUUACACAAUUUAAUAUUGUUGGUGAGCAGUAAAAGGGGAUAAAGUGGAUUUACGCUUGCGUGUGACUGUAGCAAUGUGAACGGGUUAUCGUACAGCAAAACCCAUCACGUAAAGAAGAGUCUUCAACUUUUCGAGAAAAACAUGCAUUGUUUUGCUAUCAACACAAGCUUGGAACAGGAAGCAAUGGUCAACAACAUUGGUGGACCAGGAAGCGUUAAUUACUUUUUGUCAACACUGAAUGUUCCAAUGAUAAGUUGAACUUAAAGAAAAUGGAAAUAAAUGCAGGUAGGACCAUUCAUAAAGUGUCAACUAUCUCCUUUGUAGCAGACAGGCUUAUAAGAUGCUUAAUGAAUGAAAUGCUGAUUACCUGUGCAAGAGGAAAAUGAAACCAGACAGAUUAUGGACUCAAAUUCAACCCAGAAAAAAGCUAGGAAUUUGCAGUCACUGAGAGUUCUUGUUUACAGCAUGUGUGCAAUGCUGCAACAACAUAAAUAUUAUAGCUGGCUCUAGACUCAACCUUAUGCAUCUUACAAUGAUCUUUGAAUGCAACGGUCUCAAGAACAUUUUCAUAAUGAAUAAAUCUGACGGUCAGCCCAGGGUCAUCAAUAUCAAGCGUCUUUUGGAGACACUUAUUCCAUCCUGUAAAAGUUCUUAAAAAAACUACCAUGAAAAUCAUGUACAUGUAUUUGUUUUGUUUGUCAUAAUAAGUGUAAAGUUAUCACUAGUAUCACUUCUCAUUUAUAAAUUGAUAAAUCUAUUUUCCUUUUUAAACGUGUAUGAUUGAAUGAUAAAAUGUGCCUUGUUACUUAAUUUUUAAUGUUCUUAUUUCCUUGUAUAACUUUCAAGUCUUAUUGAUUGAAGAACGAAUUUCGCGUGCUAUUUCAAACUAUGUUAGCAAAUCUUACUGCACUGAUUAGAUUACAUGUCACACAUGAUAUAUGGGAUGAAUGUAUGUUAAAAUGUUUAUGAGUUUAUUAUAGGCUUUUCAUUUAUAAUAAUUUUUAACAUUUAGCUCAUCUUUAUGCUCACAUAUAAAAAUCUCUAAUUCAGUAUGGCGUUUCUGGAAACAGGGGAUACCCUUGAUUAUAAAGCAGGAACUUUUCGUUUUCACUGGUAACUCCCAUUUGUUUCUUUCUUCGUCAUUCAGGCAUAUAUCCAUCCUCUUCAAAAGCAUCGUCACACCAUAGUCCAAAUAAUUAGACGUAAGCUACCCCGCUUACGUCUAAACGGCUACCGUCGUUUUCCUAUAGCAAAUUGAGUUCAACUUAAACUUCAGUUUUUCUCGUUAAAUCUUUGCUAAUGCAUAAAAUUAUCAUUAAUUAGACAUAAAUGUGAGCGAUUACCUCUUAAAUGUGUAAAAAUUGUGCUUUUAAACCACUUAUGUACAUUUUUAAAAAUAAACAUACACAACACA
Long non-coding RNA from Dreissena polymorpha, 1519 nucleotides. RefSeq lists it as uncharacterized. NCBI's taxonomy places the organism in Eukaryota, Metazoa, Mollusca, Bivalvia, Myida, Dreissenidae. The transcript is spliced from 3 exons. The record is from RefSeq and is a predicted model, not a curated record.